RNAcentral lists this ribosomal RNA (484 nucleotides) under uncultured bacterium. Its description in RNAcentral is "bacterial SSU rRNA". It matches the Rfam family "Bacterial small subunit ribosomal RNA", at positions 501 to 986 of the family's 1533-position model. The record is from RNAcentral.
CUACGUGCCAGCAGCCGCGGUAAUACGGAGGGUGCGAGCGUUAAUCGGAAUAACUGGGCGUAAAGGGCACGCAGGCGGUGACUUAAGUGAGGUGUGAAAGCCCCGGGCUUAACCUGGGAAUUGCAUUUCAUACUGGGUCGCUAGAGUACUUUAGGGAGGGGUAGAAUUCCACGUGUAGCGGUGAAAUGCGUAGAGAUGUGGAGGAAUACCGAAGGCGAAGGCAGCCCCUUGGGAAUGUACUGACGCUCAUGUGCGAAAGCGUGGGGAGCAAACAGGAUUAGAUACCCUGGUAGUCCACGCUGUAAACGAUGUCGAUUUGGGGGUUGARCUUURRGYUUGGCGCCCGUAGCUAACGUGAUAAAUCGACCGCCUGGGGAGUACGGCCGCAAGGUUAAAACUCAAAUGAAUUGACGGGGGCCCGCACAAGCGGUGGAGCAUGUGGUUUAAUUCGAUGCAACGCGAAGAACCUUACCUACUCUUGACA